GUUCCCGCUGUGGUUCCGAACCCUGCGCCAGGAGCUGUCCUACCGAAGGUUCCGAUCCCGCCUCCGGGAGCUGUCCGCCGGGCAGUUCCAAACCCCCUCCGGGAGCUGUCUUUCCAGCGGUUCCGACCCUCCGGGAGCUGUCCUCCGGGCGGUGCUGAACGCCAAAUAGCUCAGACGCUCCAGGGGAGGCGGGGCCGAGGCUGUGCCGCGACCCUGUGAACCUCGGGCUGCAGGGUUCUGGAACUCAUUCGGUGAGCAGUGGCCUUGCCAGGCCUUUUCUGGGGCAGAUACCAACGUAGUCUCCUUCAAGACCCCUGUAAUUUGAGGGCGGCAGUCUUUGACGUUCGACAUCUUCCGUACUUAAAACACCGAUGACUUUCUAAGUAUUGAUCAUUCCAUCACCUGUGCUCCAACAUCUCCUUACACACAGCCUGGAUACAUUCAUCUUUUAAAACGUGGUACAGUCUCCAGAGCUUCGGUGCUUUAACAAUGGAACACAGGCUCCCUCCUCCCGGGCAGGGACCUGGGUGGUGAAGAUUAUCUAGUCUUCUUUUCUCUUCUCCCUCCAUAAAUAGUGCAAUAAGUCACAUUAAUGGUAAUUGGGUCAUAAAGUCACUUUCACUCUGAAACAAAAUAAAUCCAUGAAGAUGUGAAGUGCUUACAAAUCCUACUGGGUAUAACUAAAUGAUAAUCAUUCAAUAUGGAAAGACGUGUUGCUGUUUCUAAGCAUUCAUAAAGAACGAAGAUAUUGGGAUCAUUCUGCCAACGUGUGAGUCAGCUCUACUUGGGGCAGAACCAAUACUCAUACCCUCCCUUCUUUGAUCCCUACUCUUCCUCCUCCAAAUCAGGGGCUCUACACAGUCAUAAACUUAUCACUUGCGGUGAUCACUUGCGGAUAAUAUAUAAAAAGGAAGGGAUUCACAAAACAUUCUUGCUAUAUGGAUUGGCUGAAACAAAGAAGUGUUUACAAAGCAUUCCAAUUCCCUUGGAAGAAUUAAGCCACAGAAAAGCACGGGUUGCUACCAUGUCUAUGUACUAUGUUGAACAGCCUGAAGCUUUUGAUAUGGAUAGUUGUGGAUUCCCUGGUCUUUCCCAUGAUAUGCUGCUUGGAACCAUCCAGAGCUACUGUGAUCUUGCAUUUCCUAUAAAAGUGCUCCUCCCUCAUCCAGGCUUCUGACCUCUAUUCUGCAAGGGUUGAUGCUGGUGUUUUGUUGGUUUUGUUUUACAUAAUUGGGGGUUUUCAUACAAUAACCAGAUUCAUGUUCCUUAUUUAAAUGAUGCUUACAUUAUAGGAAAAAUAUAACUCCCAACCUGUUGGAUGUCAAAUGUGCCAAGUUUGUGGUCUAACAACAUCGAGGAAUGAAGUCGUUAACCAAAGGAGGAAGUUAGGAAAGUUUUAUUGGAAAUAAAGAGAAAGGAAAGAAGAAUAGCUCUUGGAUUUCCAGGAGGGGUCCCAAAUGGGUGGCCACGAAGACUGUUUGUCAGCGGUAAUUUAUACAGCAAAGUCACAAUGUGGGUGAAACUACAAUCAACCUAUAGGAUUAUAAAUAUAGCCCCAAAACUAAUAAUCAAAUAGGGAGACAAGUCACCUAACAUGGAUACAUGGAAAGAAUGGAAAUAUGG
This 1623-nucleotide long non-coding RNA is filed under the name Heterocephalus glaber (naked mole-rat). Its description in RNAcentral is "lncRNA (ENSHGLG00000032849.1)". Lineage: Eukaryota; Metazoa; Chordata; Mammalia; Rodentia; Bathyergidae. The record is from RNAcentral.